AGGACAGCAAGCUCGGAUGAGGAUGAAGGGGUCACAUCGGAAUUCUUAAAGGCGAGAAUCAGUGAGUUGACACACAGAUUGUUGAGGAGGGAGAACUACAGGUGCCAUGUGUGUAUGGCAUCAUACACGGUACCAUUGGCAUCCAUCCAGUGUUGGCACAUUCACUGUGAGGAAUGUUGGCUCCGCACCCUGGGUUCAAAGAAGCUGUGCCCGCAGUGUAACGCUAUCACUUCCCCCCAUGAUCUGCGGAGGAUCUACCUGUAGAUGGACUUCUCUACCGGGUCAAUGGCCACCAACUGCCCGAGGAUCCCAUCCCACCUUCCUUCCUGAAGAAUGGCCUCCACUAACCCAGGGGACCACGUGAAUCCUGCCCCUGUUAGAUGGACCAAGACUCAGUGCCGGCUAUACUCCCGCAGUGACCACAAUGA
Molecule: long non-coding RNA, 428 nt
Organism: Leucoraja erinaceus (little skate)
Lineage: Eukaryota; Metazoa; Chordata; Chondrichthyes; Rajiformes; Rajidae
Exons: 3
Source: RefSeq, a predicted model, not a curated record